RNAcentral lists this transfer RNA (85 nucleotides) under Pelotomaculum thermopropionicum SI. It matches the Rfam family "tRNA". Rfam says of the family: Transfer RNA (tRNA) molecules are approximately 80 nucleotides in length. Lineage: Bacteria; Bacillati; Bacillota; Clostridia; Eubacteriales; Desulfotomaculaceae. The record is from Rfam by way of RNAcentral.
GCGGCAGUGGCGGAAUUGGCAGACGCGCAAGAUUCAGGUUCUUGUGGGCAGUGCGCCCGUGGGGGUUCAAGUCCCUUCUGCCGCA